CUGCCCAUCAGAAGGGGAUAACACUUGGAAACAGGUGCUAAUACCGUAUAACACUAUUUUCCGCAUGGAAGAAAGUUGAAAGGCGCUUUUGCGUCACUGAUGGAUGGACCCGCGGUGCAUUAGCUAGUUGGUGAGGUAACGGCUCACCAAGGCCACGAUGCAUAGCCGACCUGAGAGGGUGAUCGGCCACACUGGGACUGAGACACGGCCCAGACUCCUACGGGAGGCAGCAGUAGGGAAUCUUCGGCAAUGGACGAAAGUCUGACCGAGCAACGCCGCGUGAGUGAAGAAGGUUUUCGGAUCGUAAAACUCUGUUGUUAGAGAAGAACAAGGAUGAGAGUAAAAUGUUCAUCCCUUGACGGUAUCUAACCAGAAAGCCACGGCUAACUACGUGCUAGCAGCCGCGGUAAUACGUAGGUGGCAAGCGUUGUCCGGAUUUAUUGGGCGUAAAGCGAGCGCGGGCGGUUUCUUAAGUCUGAUGUGAAAGCCCCCGGCUCAACCGGGGAGGGUCAUUGGAAACUGGGAGACUUGAGUGCAGAAGAGGAGAGUGGAAUUCCAUGUGUAGCGGUGAAAUGCGUAGAUAUAUGGAGGAACACCAGUGGCGAAGGCGGCUCUCUGGUCUGUAACUGACGCUGAGGCUCGAAAGCGUGGGGAGCGAACAGGAUUAGAUACCCUGGUAGUCCACGCCGUAAAC
This 694-nucleotide ribosomal RNA is filed under the name uncultured bacterium. RNAcentral describes it as "bacterial SSU rRNA". It matches the Rfam family "Bacterial small subunit ribosomal RNA", at positions 126 to 807 of the family's 1533-position model. The record is from RNAcentral.